RNAcentral lists this ribosomal RNA (449 nucleotides) under uncultured organism. Its description in RNAcentral is "partial 16S ribosomal RNA". It matches the Rfam family "Bacterial small subunit ribosomal RNA", at positions 335 to 800 of the family's 1533-position model. The record is from RNAcentral.
ACUCCUGCGGGAGGCAGCAGUGGGGAAUAUUGGACAAUGGGCGCAAGCCUGAUCCAGCCAUGCCGCGUGAGUGAUGAAGGCCCUAGGGUUGUAAAGCUCUUUCACCGGUGAAGAUAAUGACGGUAACCGGAGAAGAAGCCCCGGCUAACUUCGUGCCAGCAGCCGCGGUAAUACGAAGGGGGCUAGCGUUGUUCGGAUUUACUGGGCGUAAAGCGCACGUAGGCGAACUAUUAAGUCAGGGGUGAAAUCCCGGGGCUCAACCCCGGAACUGCCUUUGAUACUGGUAGUCUUGAGUUCGAGAGAGGUGAGUGGAAUUCCGAGUGUAGAGGUGAAAUUCGUAGAUAUUCGGAGGAACACCAGUGGCGAAGGCGGCUCACUGGCUCGAUACUGACGCUGAGGUGCGAAAGCGUGGGGAGCAAACAGGAUUAGAUACCCGUGUAGUCCCAUGA